This 77-nucleotide microRNA precursor is filed under the name Myotis davidii. RNAcentral describes it as "mir-9229 microRNA precursor family". It matches the Rfam family "mir-9229 microRNA precursor family". Lineage: Eukaryota; Metazoa; Chordata; Mammalia; Chiroptera; Vespertilionidae. The record is from Rfam by way of RNAcentral.
GUAACACCCUUAUGGGGCAGGACUUGCUUCAGUGGGGCUUUGGUGCUCCACUGAGUCUACCCCCUUAGUGUGUCUCU